UGCAGUCGAGGGGUAUAGGUUUUCGGACCUAGAGACCGGCGCACGGGUGCGUAACGCGUAUGCAAUCUACCUUUCACAGAGGGAUAGCCCAGAGAAAUUUGGAUUAAUACCUCAUAGUAUAACGACUCGGCAUCGAGAUGUUAUUAAAGUCACAACGGUGAAAGAUGAGCAUGCGUCCCAUUAGCUAGUUGGUAUGGUAACGGCAUACCAAGGCGACGAUGGGUAGGGGUCCUGAGAGGGAGAUCCCCCACACUGGUACUGAGACACGGACCAGACUCCUACGGGAGGCAGCAGUGAGGAAUAUUGGACAAUGGGCGCAAGCCUGAUCCAGCCAUGCCGCGUGCAGGAUGACGGUCCUAUGGAUUGUAAACUGCUUUUGCACAGGAAGAAACAACUCUACGUGUAGAGUCUUGACGGUACUGUGAGAAUAAGGAUCGGCUAACUCCGUGCCAGCAGCCGCGGUAAUACGGAGGAUCCAAGCGUUAUCCGGAAUCAUUGGGUUUAAAGGGUCCGUAGGCGGUCUUAUAAGUCAGUGGUGAAAUCUCCCCGCUCAACGGGGAAACGGCCAUUGAUACUGUAGGACUUGAAUUAUUAGGAAGUAACUAGAAUAUGUAGUGUAGCGGUGAAAUGCUUAGAGAUUACAUGGAAUACCAAUUGCGAAGGCAGGUUACUACUAAUGGAUUGACGCUGAUGGACGAAAGCGUGGGUAGCGAACAGGAUUAGAUACCCUGGUAGUCCACGCCGUANACGAUGGAUACUAGCUGUUGGAAGCAAUUUCAGUGGCUAAGCGAAAGUGAUAAGUAUCCCACCUGGGGAGUACGUUCGCAAGAAUGAAACUCAAAGGAAUUG
This 849-nucleotide ribosomal RNA is filed under the name uncultured bacterium. Its description in RNAcentral is "bacterial SSU rRNA". It matches the Rfam family "Bacterial small subunit ribosomal RNA", at positions 56 to 912 of the family's 1533-position model. The record is from RNAcentral.